UUGCAAUCGCGCCUCCGAGAAAUAUCUGGAACAACAAGUCCUGUGCAUCAGUUCCGCGCUCGAGCGCCAUGGACGAGGAAGGGGAUCUCCCCGAUGGCAACGGGGGCUGCUGGUGCGGACGCAUCCUCGCCCGCUCGUAGCAGACCACACCGCCGCCGCCGCGGCGUGCGGCCACCGCACGAGCACCUCCCUGUCGGCGCAGACCGCACGGAGCCCCGCCCCCGCCGCGGCGUGCAGCCACCGCACGGACACUUCCCCGGUCGGCGCAGACCGCAGGGAGCCCCGCCGCGGCGGCGUGUGGCCAUCGCUCCGGCACCACCUUGCUCGCUCGGCGCGGCCCGUAGGGAGCGGGCACCAUGCGGGGCUGCAGGCACCUCCUCGCCCGCUCGGUGUACCGUCUCUAUUGCAACGGCUCAAGCUUGCUUGGGUGCGGUUGCUGCUAGCUUUGUCGCUGCAACUUCAGCUCGUCUCCUCACAGCAAACUAGAGCAGGAAGAGGAAGGCAGGAAGCUUGGUCGCUGCAAGAACAAUGGAGGUGGUGCUCGAUAAUGCUGCUGGCAUGGUGGCUGGCUACAUGGCCAGGCAGCACCGGGGCUUGAGGAAGAGGAAGUGGGGCAAGUGGGUGUCGGAGAUCAUCAGAUCAGGGAGCCCGGCAAGAAGAUGCGCGCAUCUGGCUUGGCAGCUUUGAGUCCCCGGAGAUGGCCGCGGUGACGUCGCAGCCGUUUCCGGCCUGACCGGCCUCGGCGGCGGCGACAGCGACAGCUCCUGCAACAGCUUCCUUGCUCGCUCGGCGUGCGGCCACCGAGCCGGCGCCUCCUCGCCCACUCAGCGCAGCCUGCAGGGCCGAUUCCGAGCGCGGCCUCCGCCGACGACCCCGCGCGCUGGCGAUGGUGCCAAAUCAAUGGAGGUACUGGACAGAGGGUGGACGAGUUUGGGCCAGACAGAUCCAUCUUCUGCGGGUGGCGAGUUGUGGGUGAUGAUGCACAGAUUUAGGUGCAAAACUCGAUUUCAGCAAGGUGCAAGUGAGCAAUAAAACCUACUCAUGUAAAGGCGGGUACCGUUGGAGAUUUCAACUCUGGACUAUUUUGCUCCACCGCCAAGUGAGCCUGACAAAAUGGACCGAUACUGUUGCGACCUGCCAAGUCCAUUCAAAUAUUGUACUGUGCAAGAUUCCCACUCCGGAAACAUCCUAAGCCACGCGUCCGCCUGCUCCCUCGGUUCAUGUAUAUUAAAAUAUAACAAGGUCACUCGAAUACACUACAAACUGUUCCAAAAUACAGCUCAGGUACGCGCCGUCGUAGCUCCAAUCGCUGAUCUACUUCUUCCACGCCGUACAGAUAGCCGGCGCAUUGGCGCCGCGCGGCACAAAAUCCGCUCUCGGAAGGAACCCCACCGUCGCAGGACCGCAGGAGCACCUGCACGCAGCACUCUUCACGAGUGAGGGUGCGUUUAGUUCCCAAAAGAAAAAAUUUUGGAUGUCUCGUCAACGUUUGACCAGAUGUCGGGAGGGUUUUUCGGACACUAAUUAAAAAACUAAUUUCAGAACUCACUUGGAAACCGCGAGACGAAUCUUUUAAGGCCUUUGACCGCGACAUUAGCACAUGUGGGUUACUG
Molecule: long non-coding RNA, 1613 nt
Organism: Panicum virgatum (switchgrass)
Lineage: Eukaryota; Viridiplantae; Streptophyta; Magnoliopsida; Poales; Poaceae
Exons: 3
Source: RefSeq, a predicted model, not a curated record